UCAAGCUAUGAAGAGCACAGGGUGAAUGCCUUGGCAUCAAGAACCGAAGAAGGACGUGUCAAGCUGCGAAAAGCUGCGGGGAGUUGCAAGCAAACAUUGAUCCGCAGAUAUCCGAAUGAGGGAACUCAGCAUCUGUAAUAGGAUGUUACCAUAUACUGAAUUCAUAGGUAUAUGGAGGGAACCCGGUGAACUGAAACAUCUAAGUAGCCGGAGGAAAGGAAAACAAAAGUGAUUCCCAAAGUAGCGGCGAGCGAAAUGGGAAGAGGCCAAACCGGAAGUCUUCGGACAUCCGGGGUUGCGGACCCAUAGAAUCGAUCUGACGAAUAUAGCUGAAUAGCAUUGGAAAGUGCAGCCAAAGAGGGUAAAAGCCCCGUAAGCGAAAUACGAGUCAGCGAGAUGGGCACCAGAGUACCACGGGACACGUGAAACCCCGUGGGAAGCCGGGAGGACCACCUUCCAAGCCUAAAUAUUCCUUGAUGACCGAUAGAGAAAUAGUACCGUGAGGGAAAGGUGAAAAGCACCCCGGGAGGGGAGUGAAAGAGAACCUGAAACCUUGUGCUUACAAGCAGUGGGAGCACUAUUAGAAAGUGUGACCACGUACUUUUUGUAGAACGGGCCAGCGAGUUACGGUAUGCAGCAAGGUUAAGUGACUGGAGUCACGGAGCCGAAGGGAGACCGAGUCUUAAUAGGGCGAAUAAGUUGCAUGCUGUAGACCCGAAACCGGGUGACCUACCCAUGAGCAGGUUGAAGCGGUGGUAAAACACCGUGGAGGACCGAACCACACGUAUGUUGAAAAAUGCGGGGAUGACUUGUGGGUAGCGGAGAAAUUCCAAUCGAGCUCGGAGAUAGCUGGUUCUCCUCGAAAUAGCUUUAGGGCUAGCCUCGAGUGAAGAUAUAUGGGGGUAGAGCACUGAAUGGACUAGGGGGCUUCACGGCUUACCGAAUCUUAUCAAACUCCGAAUACCAUAUAUUACCUACUCGGGAGUCAGACAGUGUGAGAUAAGUUUCAUUGUCAAAAGGGAAAGAGCCCAGAUCAUCAACUAAGGUCCCAAAGUGUAAGUUAAGUGGAAAAGGAUGUGGAAUUGCAGAGACAACUAGGAUGUUGGCUCAGAAGCAGCCACUCAUUUAAAGAGUGCGUAACAGCUCACUAGUCGAGUGAUUGUGCGCCGAAAAUGUCCGGGGCUAAAACUUACCACCGAAGUUAUGGGUGCAUCGUAAGAUGCGCGGUAGAGGAGCAUCGUAUUAGGAUUGAAGCCAUACCGGGAGGAGUGGUGGACUUAAUACGAGAGAGAAUGCUGGCAUAAGUAGCGAGAGUGAGGUGAGAAUCCUCACCGUCGAAAGCCUAAGGUUUCCUGGGGAAGGUUCGUCCGCCCAGGGUAAGUCGGGACCUAAGCCGAGGACAGUAUCGUCGUAGGCGAUGGACAACAGGUUGAUAUUCCUGUACUACCGACCAUUCGUUUGACUGACGCAGUGACACAGGAGGAUAGCAGGAGCGGGCUGAUGGUAGAGCCCGUCUAAGCACUGAGGGUGGAAAUUAGUGAAGUACGGUUUCCGCGAAGCCUGAGGUGUGAUGGGGACAGAAAAUAAGUAUGGAAGUCUGUGAAUCCACACUGGCAAGAAAAGCUGCUAAGGAGAAUGGUAGGUACCCGUACCGCAAACCGACACAGGUAGGCGAGGAGAGAAUCCUAAGACGAGCGGGAGAAGCAUUGUUAAGGAACUCGGCAAAAUGACUCCGUAACUUCGGGAUAAGGAGUGCCUAGUAAAAUAGGUCGCAGUGAAUAGGCCCAAGCGACUGUUUAGCAAAAACACAGGUCUGUGCGAAAUCGAGAGAUGAAGUAUACGGGCUGACGCCUGCCCAGUGCUGGAAGGUUAAGGGGAACUGUUAGCGUAAGGCGAAGCAGGGAACUUAAGCCCCAGUGAACGGCGGCCGUAACUAUAACGGUCCUAAGGUAGCGAAAUUCCUUGUCGGGUAAGUUCCGACCCGCACGAAUGGCGUAACGACUUGGGCACUGUCUCAACAAUGUACCCGGCGAAAUUGUAGUAUGAGUGAAGAUGCUCAUUACCCGCGAUAGGACGGAAAGACCCCGUAGAGCUUUACUGCAACUUGGCAUUGGAUUUUGGUAUUGGAUGUACAGGAUAGGUGGGAGACUGAGAAGCGUUGACGCCAGUUGACGCAGAGUCACUGUUGGGAUACCACCCUUCCAAUACUAGGGUUCUAACCCGAGGCCGUGAACCGGCUCGGGGACAGUACCAGGUGGGCAGUUUGACUGGGGCGGUCGCCUCCGAAAGAGUA
Molecule: ribosomal RNA, 2293 nt
Filed under: metagenome
Description: bacterial LSU rRNA
Rfam family: Bacterial large subunit ribosomal RNA
Source: RNAcentral